Molecule: ribosomal RNA, 384 nt
Filed under: uncultured bacterium
Lineage: Bacteria
Description: bacterial SSU rRNA
Rfam family: Bacterial small subunit ribosomal RNA
Source: RNAcentral
AUUGAACGCUGGCGGUAUGCUUAAGACAUGCAAGUCGAACGGAAUCUUCGGAUUCAGUGGCGGACGGGUGAGUAACACGUGGGAAUCUACUGAGUAGUGGGGGACAGCCCGGCGAAAGCCGGAUUAAUACCGCAUACGCCUACGGGGAAAGGGACGCAAGCCGCUAUUUAAUGAGCCCGCGUAAGAUUAGCUAGUUGGUGAGGUAAAGGCCCACCAAGGCAACGAUCUUUAGCUGGUCUGAGAGGAUGGCCAGCCACAUCGGGACUGAGACACGGCCCGGACUCCUACGGGAGGCAGCAGUCGGGGAAUAUUGGACAAUGGGCGCAAGCCUGAUCCAGCAAUACCGCGUGUGUGAAGAAGGCCUGCGGGUUGUAAAGCACUUUC